Molecule: small RNA, 63 nt
Filed under: Pan troglodytes (chimpanzee)
Lineage: Eukaryota; Metazoa; Chordata; Mammalia; Primates; Hominidae
Description: processed transcript
Source: RNAcentral
UUCAUGCCGUGGAGGAAGUGGUGAAGGAGGUGGUGGGACAUGCCAAGGAGACUGGAGAGAAAG